This 497-nucleotide ribosomal RNA is filed under the name uncultured bacterium. RNAcentral describes it as "partial 16S ribosomal RNA". It matches the Rfam family "Bacterial small subunit ribosomal RNA", at positions 28 to 507 of the family's 1533-position model. The record is from RNAcentral.
GAUGAACGCUGGCGGCGUGCCUAAUACAUGCAAGUCGAGCGAACAGACGAGGAGCUUGCUCCUCUGACGUUAGCGGCGGACGGGUGAGUAACACGUGGAUAACCUACCUAUAAGACUGGGAUAACUUCGGGAAACCGGAGCUAAUACCGGAUAAUAUAUUGAACCGCAUGGUUCAAUAGUGAAAGACGGUUUUGCUGUCACUUAUAGAUGGAUCCGCGCCGCAUUAGCUAGUUGGUAAGGUAACGGCUUACCAAGGCAACGAUGCGUAGCCGACCUGAGAGGGUGAUCGGCCACACUGGAACUGAGACACGGUCCAGACUCCUACGGGAGGCAGCAGUAGGGAAUCUUCCGCAAUGGGCGAAAGCCUGACGGAGCAACGCCGCGUGAAUGAUGAAGGUCUUCGGAUCGUAAAACUCUGUUAUUAGGGAAGAACAAUUGUGUAAGUAACUAUGCACGUCUUGACGGUACCUAAUCAGAAAGCCACGGCUAACUACGUG